RNAcentral lists this ribosomal RNA (98 nucleotides) under Cricetulus griseus (Chinese hamster). The record is from RNAcentral. Lineage: Eukaryota; Metazoa; Chordata; Mammalia; Rodentia; Cricetidae.
GUAUUCCCAGUAGGUCUCCCAUCCAAGUACUAACCAGGCCUGACCCUGCUUAGCUUCUGAGAUCAGACAAGAUUUGGUGCAUUCAGGGUGGUAUGGCC